This 4411-nucleotide unclassified non-coding RNA is filed under the name Leishmania donovani. RNAcentral describes it as "gene:LdHU3.25.0850(CDS-product:hypothetical_prote in_conserved)". The record is from RNAcentral. Lineage: Eukaryota; Euglenozoa; Kinetoplastea; Trypanosomatida; Trypanosomatidae.
GCCCAAAGCUUCGGCUUCCCCCCACUCCUCCUCCGCAUCGUCGUUCUCCUCCUUUCAUGCCCACGCUUUCACUUCUUCCCCCACUCCUCCCACAGACAUGCACAACGCGAUUGGGUGGCAGCGCUGGUGAAAUCACAAUCUGCAAUCACGUAUAGCCACCUUCGCUUUUUUUCUUUCGUGCUUGUGCUAUCACCUCUCACUCUCUUGCCUCUUCCUCGUCGGUUCCACGCUCACCUCAACCCCACCGUCGUCCGCGUGCUGUGCCGUGAAGUGCGUCUCUUUCGGUCAGCGCGUGUGUGUAUCCGUAGAUGCGAAGCGUCAAGCGAGAGAGCCGCACGCCGACACGGAAGCGGCCUUUCUAUUCAGUAUGUCCUCUGCCGCCGCGGCACAGCUGCAGCGACUACUAGACGGAUACGUCUCUGCGAGCCUCGAUGGACAUGAAAGGAAGCUUCUUCCAAACGGAAACAGCGCGCGUGCCAGGAGCUCUCACACAUUGGCUCUUGACGCCGCAGAUGUGAUGAGCUGCCUGCCGUUUUUUUCGUCUGUCUUCGGUGCUGCUGGCGGCAGCGUCGCAUCGCGAAGGGUACUGCGACUAGCUCCUUCGCAAGCAUUCAUGGCAGCGGCCGGUCCAGUUACGCGACCGACGGUGGACGAGGCAAGGGCUAGCGACACCUUAUCAUCGUUUAUUCUCUACCUUGGCGACGUGGUGGAGCGGCACCUGCACGCAUUCAUGUGGGCUGUCUCCGUUGGGCCCCCGUUCUCAACCCUGCACUUCGCAGUCGAGCUGAGACACGGCAACGCUUCCGACGGAAGGAGCAAUAAGGAGAGCAGCUCGCAUGAUGGCAGCGUGAGCGAACGCGGUCACCGCGGCGGGGGUGGUCCGUAUGUGAACUUCGUCGCUUGGGUGGCGUUGGAGGUGUAUCGCCUCUUGGCGCGAGGUGCCGAGUCUCGGCAGCGUGAGCGGCGCGCUGCCGGUGGUGCCACGUCCGCGGAUGCUGGGGCCCGCACAGAUGCGUAUAUACGGUGGGAGCGUGAGAUCGGGGAGCGUGUGUCUGCUGCCGUGGCUGCUGCGCGGCAGCUCGCGACGAAGCCUACUGGCUGCAACGAUGUGAGCUGGCAAAAUAUACUGCGGACUAUUUCUUCUGCACCCGAUGCGCACCUGGACGACGUCUUCGCCACCUACCCACACUUUUUCUACCUGUUCAUGUGCGCUGAACUUCUCCCGGACCUUCAGCGACGCUUGCACAGGUGCAGCGAGCCGCCUCUGGUGAGGCUGCGGGAGGCGCUGCGGAGUAAUGCGGCGGUCGCACACACGGACGACCAGCAGCCAACUCAUCGAACGCGAUCCUUGUCUACGGCAUUUUGGGCAGACGCUGUGUCGCUUCUGUGCUGCGAAUCCACGGCAGCCGCCAGUCGUAUCGGCGCGGAGACGACAAUGUGCAAAGAAAGCGGUUUUACUCCUACUGCCACCACCCCUGCUCAAACGUCGAUCUUCGUGGCGGCGGCGGUAGCGUCAUCGCUGGCAGCGCCCCUCUUGAGGCCUGCGUGCCGCUGGAUCGAUCGAAUUGCGUCCUUUACUUCGGCAGCGGCGCCGCACUCACAAGGGCAUCUCGUAGUGGCUGACGAGCAGAAUCGCGCCCAGGCAGUAAUGCACAUACUGGACGUGUGCAUGCGUUCUCUGCAGCUGGUUCCGCUUCCAAUGUAUGACGGUUGCGAUGCGGAUAUGCCGCUCAGCCUCGGCAGCUGCGAAAUGGCAGGCAACUGGCUGAUACCGUCAACGUCGUCGCCGCUGCAUGUCCGACCCAUGCCGUUGUUCGGGCUGCAGAGACAACGACGCGCUGUGGUGCUGCCGGGGCUGUCGAUUGCCGCCACCCGCAUCCGCUCUCUGGCUGCGGCGUAUUCGGGGAAGGCGAGCACAGUCGACGCGGCGGCGCCGGACGUGUCAGCUCCCGCUGGCACGUGUGUCUGGUCGCCGGCGGGUUCAUUGGCACAGAUGUUGUGGGCAGAGACGCAGCUGAGCUCCGCAGCGGUGGCGCCAUGCUGCGACGACACCAAUGCACCUUUCACAUCUGUCAGCGCAGUGCCGCACUCGAGGCUGCACCCGGUGGAGUUACUUUUGCUGUUCGAGGACGUGCCGUCUGACGCGGAGGCGUUGGCCCGUUUGCGGGCCGCCCUGGAUGCCGAGGCACCCGAGGGAUGGGUGGUUAUGGUGGUCCAGGCCUCCGUGCCGAAAACUGCGCAGCAGUAUAUAGAGUCUACUUGGGGCGCAGACGCGCGCCCUGUCCUCCUCCUCAGCGCCGUAGGCCAGUGGGGGCUUCAGCAGUUGGCAUUGCGCUUCAAUGUGCAGCUUAACACAUCCGCCACCGACUUGCGUUGCUUGCGCGGGGUUCGACGCCGUCUCUGUAGCGAUAGCGGUGCCGGCCAGCCCCAGGAGCGUCGAGGCUGCGGCAUUGCUGCCCUCCCGCUGCGUGGCCAGCAGUACGCGCCAUCGUCCUCCCUGUCGGCGAACGACGGUGCGCAACCCCAGCAGCAUGGAAAGGACUACUCACGACAUGCGCGCUGUGCAGCGGCCUUCGUCGAGGGGCGGGAGCACUACCUGUUCGUGGUCGGAGAGCGCACCGAUGCAUUAGAGCCCAGCACCUGUAAUGCCUCUGCAGCGAUGGAGUCGGAGCGCACCACUGGUACGGUAGCCCACCGCGCUGCGGCCGUCUCUCAAGCGCGGCCAACCGCCUUGCAGCUGCAGCCCUCGCCGCCAACACUGUUCCCACCCAGCGUAUCCAUGCACUUUCGCGACGACUCGGGGGAGUCAAGCAGCAGCGAGUUGAGCGACACCCGCUCCUUCAGCAGUGGAUCCACCUUCUCUGACACAACGGCAGCGGCAGCCAUGGCGGCAGGCGGGUCUGACGAACGGGUGAUGCGGGCGUGGUAUGGCGACCCAGCGGUGCCGCCGAUACCCUUCGUCGUGGCGAGUGUCCUGGUUGGGGCGGCCACCAGAGGGGCGCAGCACGAGUUGGUGUACGACAUCGGCUACCACUGGCGCCUUCUGCUGCAUCAGCUCGUUCUACCUGAGCCGCUUUGCUGCCGGGUGCCCACGAGUGGCGAGCGAGGGGCAACAGCCAUGGCGAUCCGUAAGUUGGACUCUUUGCUGAAGUCACCUCUGCCAAACGGAUUCGCCUCUGCCUCCCCUGCUGGGGCACCAGCGGCGUACACCCCGGAGCAGCUGCGUGUGCUAGGCGCCUUGAGGGACGCCCUCUUGUCUUACGAGCUUCUUUCUCUGCAGCAUGGGCCGGAGGGGCGCACGCUAGAUGAGUCGUGGCAAGUGCUGCAGAGAUACACAGAACCCACCACAAGCCCGUACGAGGGGUGCACAGAGGCACCAGCCGAGUCGUGGCUCGCUGUCCAAAGUGCGUAUUUGGCAGUGGCCGACUGCCUGGAUGAGCUCUGCCUCACUGUCGUCCUCGGCGGGGGCAAUGAUGCAUCUGCGAACAACGGCGAGUCUCAGGACAGCGCCGCACGCGGCCUCUACUUCUUCCCUGUGAUAUGAGGCAACUGCGUGGUGCUGCAGGGACAGGCUGAGGAGAUUGAGUGAAAGGGAGGGCGUAGCAGAAUAACAUAAAACUAAUCGGCGCUGAGGGGGCGAUGCCGUCGACUUCGUGCUUCUCCGUUUUGGCUCAUCGGCCCUUCCCCGGGCUAAGUGUGUGUCUGUUUGCUUGUUGCUGUUGUUCUGCUACGUGCAUGUGCAUGUUUUACCUGUGGAGGAGGCGCGGGACACAGGAAUACCCGCGCCACCGUCUCGUCGUCUUCGCUCGAUCCUCCCCCUCGUUCUCUCUUUCUGGUUUCUAACCGUUACCGCUACCGCUCCUCGCCUUCCACGUGCGAAAGACGACACGACACACGACACAAACACACACACACACACACGCUACGUACAUAUAUGUAUGCAUAUAUACAUAUAUGUACGUAUGCGUGUGUGUGUGUGUGGAGGCACACCGAAACGGAUGCCGCCUUCCCAUCUGCUACGGUCGAACGCGUUGCGGUGCGGCAGUCAGCGGUGAGCUUUGCCAAAUGCCGCUCGAAAGGGGCGGGUGCGAGGGGGGGGGUGUACGGCGAUGCAUCGCUGGCGUGCUUGUCUUGCCGUUCGGUGCGGGAGAUGUAUGCAAACUGCUGCUUCCCAUCCGUCUUCUUCAUUUCCAUGGUAGGCAUCAACGUGGACGCAGAUACGCAAGUGCGCUUGUAGCGUUCUGGUGCAUGCAGAAUUCAAGAGCGCAUGCCUUCGCCGCUUAUGAGACUCGACAUGACGAUGCCCCGCUCCCUACGCUCUCACCGCCUUCGUCCCCUCUUCUCUGCUCUCUCGUUUUUUGCUUUCCUUCCGCGCGUAUGCGUGCGUCCGUGUUGAGAGGAUGUGUUUCAG